UACGAAGGGGGCUAGCGUUGUUCGGAAUUACUGGGCGUAAAGCGCACGUAGGCGGACAUUUAAGUCAGGGGUGAAAUCCCGGAGCUCAACUCCGGAAAUGCCAUUGAAACUGUGAGACUUGAGGAUGAGAGAGGUGAGUGGAAUUCCCAGUGUAGAGGUGAAAUUCGUAGAUAUUGGGAAGAACACCGGUGGCGAAGGCGGCUCACUGGCUCAUAUCUGACGCUCAGGCGCGACAGCGUGGGGAUCAAACAGG
Molecule: ribosomal RNA, 253 nt
Filed under: uncultured bacterium
Lineage: Bacteria
Description: partial 16S ribosomal RNA
Rfam family: Bacterial small subunit ribosomal RNA
Source: RNAcentral